CAGAGACUGCAAGCGUUAUUCGGAUUCACUGGGCGUAAAGGGUGCGCAGGCGGUCGUGUGUGUCAGAUGUGAAAUCCCGGGGCUUAACUCCGGAACUGCGUCUGAAACUGCAUGACUAGAGCAUUGGAGAGGGUAGUGGAAUUCACGGUGUAGCAGUGAAAUGCGUAGAUAUCGUGAGGAACACCAGAGGCGAAGGCGACUACCUGGACAAUUGCUGACGCUCAGGCACGAAAGCAUGGGGAGCAAAAGGGAUUAGAUACCCCUGUAGUCCAUGCCCUAAACGGUGCACACUAGGUCUUGGAGGAUUCGACCCCUUCAGGGCCCAAGCUAACGCGUUAAGUGUGCCGCCUGAGGACUACGGUCGCAAGACUA
RNAcentral lists this ribosomal RNA (372 nucleotides) under uncultured organism. Its description in RNAcentral is "bacterial SSU rRNA". It matches the Rfam family "Bacterial small subunit ribosomal RNA", at positions 526 to 896 of the family's 1533-position model. The record is from RNAcentral.